This 496-nucleotide ribosomal RNA is filed under the name uncultured bacterium. Its description in RNAcentral is "bacterial SSU rRNA". It matches the Rfam family "Bacterial small subunit ribosomal RNA", at positions 15 to 507 of the family's 1533-position model. The record is from RNAcentral.
GAUCAUGGCUCAGAGUGAACGCUGGCGGCAGGCCUAACACAUGCAAGUCGAGCGGCAGCGCGGGGCAACCCUGGCGGCGAGCGGCGGACGGGUGAGGAAUGCAUCGGAAUCUACCUCGUUGUGGGGGAUAACGUAGGGAAACUUACGCUAAUACCGCAUACGACCUACGGGUGAAAGUGGGGGACCUUCGGGCCUCACGCGAUGAGAUGAGCCGAUGCCGGAUUAGCUAGUUGGCGGGGUAAAGGCCCACCAAGGCGACGAUCCGUAGCUGGUCUGAGAGGAUGAUCAGCCACACUGGAACUGAGACACGGUCCAGACUCCUACGGGAGGCAGCAGUGGGGAAUAUUGGACAAUGGGCGCAAGCCUGAUCCAGCCAUGCCGCGUGUGUGAAGAAGGCCUUCGGGUUGUAAAGCACUUUUGUUGGGGAAGAAACCGACCGGAUUAAUACUUCGGUUGAAUGACGGUACCCAAAGAAUAAGCACCGGCUAACUUCGUG